Molecule: long non-coding RNA, 202 nt
Filed under: Nicotiana benthamiana
Lineage: Eukaryota; Viridiplantae; Streptophyta; Magnoliopsida; Solanales; Solanaceae
Description: long non-coding RNA (NBEN_LNC000074)
Source: RNAcentral
UAUCUUAUUUGUCUAGCAUGACAUGAAAACUUGAUAUGCAUCUAAAGUUUAUAAUAUGGCUUCUAUGACUUAACUUAUAUGAAAAUCCAUGAAGGAUUUUAAGUUGCUUGAAGCAUCUACAAUUCUUGAUCUUGAGGUACCACUUCCUCAGUCCAAAGAUUGCUGAAGAGUGAGUCUGAUGGUAGUCUUCUUGGAGUGACCA